Molecule: long non-coding RNA, 313 nt
Filed under: Capsicum annuum
Lineage: Eukaryota; Viridiplantae; Streptophyta; Magnoliopsida; Solanales; Solanaceae
Description: long non-coding RNA (CANN_LNC001782)
Source: RNAcentral
UUUUUCGAUGCUUGGUGAUGACUUGGAAAUAUCUGCCCUUCACCUCUUAGCCACCUUGAUUUCUAGUGGAGUGUAUGGAUAUGAAAUCCUCUUUGAUGGAAUGACACCCCUCUUAGAUAUCAUUUCCUUUACCGAAGCAGUUAGUGCAUUAAUAGCAUUAAUCACUCCAUCAUGUUUCGCCUUACAGUCUUGACAUUUGCAUGCAGAACAUUAGCUAGAUGUGGCAAAAUCUAGAGAAAAAUCUGUACAACUAGUAUGAUCAUAAUCAUAAUGGCUUAUUAUUUCAAAAAUUGUAAGAGGAGCAUCAUUAGCC